GUCAGCAGCAACAAACACAACAACAAUAAGGGAGUUGGGAGUCACAGCAGCCCUCACCUAAUGGGCAAAAUUGGGCCCAACAGCCCCCUUGGCCCAACCCGCAGCAGCAACAUUGGCCUCAACAAGGCUGGGCCGUACCUCCUGCCCCCUUUCCAACCAGUGGGAUGUACCAGUCUCGACCCAAUGGACCCCCUGCUCGUGGUUUGUAUUCUCAGCAAGCCUACACCAUGGGUCAACCUCAAUACGGGCCGCCUAUGACUCCCACGGAGCUCGGGAGUGCGUAUUCCUCAAUGAGUCUAUCAAGUCCGGACAAUGGGUGGUACAUGGACUCCGGAGCUACUUCUCAUAUGACUCAUACCUUAGGACCUUCGAACGGGGAGGGUACUAGCGAGAUGCAAUAGUUCCGGCGACCUUUAUCCAGUCACGUCCACAUUACCAAGCACCUACCUUGCCACUUCUCUUACCACAGUCACUCCAACCACUUGGCAUGACCGCUUAGGACACCCUGGAGCACCUUCUAUUAAUUUUCUUAGGAGCAAUAAUUUUAUUGAUUGUAAUAAGGAGCUUGACUCCAAUUUUUGCAAUUCUUGUCAAAUAGGGAAAUAUGUUAGACUUCUGUUUUAUAACUCAAAUAAUCAUACUUAUUGUGCGUUUGAUAUUAUUCAUGCUGAUUUA
Chenopodium quinoa (quinoa) is the source of this 675-nucleotide long non-coding RNA. RefSeq lists it as uncharacterized. The transcript has 2 exons. The record is from RefSeq and is a predicted model, not a curated record. NCBI's taxonomy places the organism in Eukaryota, Viridiplantae, Streptophyta, Magnoliopsida, Caryophyllales, Amaranthaceae.